UACGUAGGGGGCUAGCGUUGUCCGGAAUCAUUGGGCGUAAAGAGCGUGUAGGCGGUCCGGUAAGUCCGUUGUGAAAGUCAGGGGCUCAACCCUUGAAUGCCGGCGGAUACUGUCGGGCUAGAGUCCGGAAGAGGCGAGUGGAAUUCCCGGUGUAGCGGUGAAAUGCGCAGAUAUCGGGAGGAACACCUAUGGCGAAGGCAGCUCGCUGGGACGGCACUGACGCUGAGGCACGAAAGUGUGGGGAUCAAACAGG
RNAcentral lists this ribosomal RNA (253 nucleotides) under uncultured bacterium. RNAcentral's name for it is "partial 16S ribosomal RNA". It matches the Rfam family "Bacterial small subunit ribosomal RNA", at positions 524 to 776 of the family's 1533-position model. The record is from RNAcentral.